This 483-nucleotide ribosomal RNA is filed under the name uncultured bacterium. Its description in RNAcentral is "bacterial SSU rRNA". It matches the Rfam family "Bacterial small subunit ribosomal RNA", at positions 36 to 507 of the family's 1533-position model. The record is from RNAcentral.
CUGGCGGUAUGCUUAACACAUGCAAGUCGAACGGCAGCAUGAAAGUUCUUAGGAACUUUGAUGGCGAGUGGCGGACGGGUGAGUAAUGCAUAGGAAUCUACCUUGAAGUGGGGGACAACCUGGGGAAACUCAGGCUAAUACCGCGUAAUCUCUAAGGAGGAAAGCUGGGGACCGCAAGGCCUGGCGCUUUAAGAUGAGCCUAUGUCAGAUUAGCUAGUUGGUGGGGUAAAGGCUCACCAAGGCAACGAUCUGUAGCUGUUCUGAGAGGAUGAUCAGCCACACUGGGACUGAGACACGGCCCAGACUCCUACGGGAGGCAGCAGUGGGGAAUAUUGGACAAUGGGCGAAAGCCUGAUCCAGCAAUACCGCGUGUGCGAUGAAGGUCUUCGGAUUGUAAAGCACUUUUAAUUGGAAAGAUGGCUGAUGUGUUAAUAGCACAGUCAGUUGACGUUACCAAUAGAAUAAGCACCGGCUAACUCUGUG